AACUUCGCAAUGACCAUGACCACCAUUAUGAUGACCAUUACCAUGUGUAACGGGGCGGGUUAGUGCGUACUAAAUAAAAAAUACAUUAAACCCGCAUAUUAUGCGGGUUUUUUUAUG
This is a regulatory RNA element of Pasteurella bettyae, 117 nucleotides long. NCBI's taxonomy places the organism in Bacteria, Pseudomonadati, Pseudomonadota, Gammaproteobacteria, Pasteurellales, Pasteurellaceae. The record is from Rfam.